CAUAGAUUGAUCUUGGUGAUGCGUAGAAAAUUUUGAAUUUCUGCUACGUUCCCCAACAGAAUCCUCUCUCCCUCGAUCUCUCUCUGAGUCUUAGCCCUGUCUCUUCUAGGGUUCUCACACCGCCGACUCUGUCCGCCUCAUGCGGACCUACCGAAUGGCAAGGUGAAGCGAGAGCUCGGCUCUCAAGAGGCAGCCGGAGGAGAUGGUGGUGCCAUGGUCGCGGCGAGGGUGGCGUACAGUCCCAUAGUUGAGCUUGCCAUGAGAUUCGACAAGUGCGUGCUUCACUGCCCCCUCUGCACCCCCCUCCUAACUUCCUUAUUCCACACUCAGUUGGUGCCGUGAAGAUCGACUUGUACGGCGGGUGCCACGACGUGAUUAGCCUGUCCUACUAGACCCUCCUAUGCGUGCUCGCUCACCAUGCGGCUGGUCAAGUAGUGUCGUGCGCUGAGCGCUCCCCGUCCCAGGGGCCCUGACUCCCGACGCAUCCAACCGCACAAGGCGCUUGUGCCCGCUGCCCCUUUCCUCCAUGUCUGUGAGGAGAAUCCCUACAGUAUGCAUGUAUUUUGUUAAUCCCCUCUUAUAUUAUUUAAAUCUCAGCAAGACAACCACAUAUGAGCCAGGAACUGUAGCAUCCAUUGUCUUCUAUAUCUGCUUGCAUUAACUUUCCAUUACAAUUAGCCUGUGGGAUAUAUGAUGCGAGGGAACGAACAUGCCAUAAGGCACGGGUGAGUCCCCUGGGUGCUCUUUGCAUUACUAUUCUUCUUAUUCGGCUGAUUUUGAUCUUCUUAAUCCUUUUCUCAUUAAUACCAUUUGUAGUUUGUGAGAUCUUUCUCUGACCACAUGCAAGCCUAUGCUCCACCAUCCCAUUCUUUGUUAUGUUAUUUCCAACUUUAAGACAAUUUUAUCUUUCAAACCAAAAGUACAAUUUAUGAUCCGUUUGCAUAUUGUGAUUAUGACGAGGAGAACUUCAAAACAAUACCACUUUUGAAUGUGUUUCAGCAUGUUCUAAAAAAAUCAAAUUCUAAAGCAGAAUGAAACACUAUUAAAAGUUCAAAGUUUUGUUUGAAUAUCCCAUUAUUGAAUUGUUGCAUCAAAUUAUUAAAUUUAUAUGAAACAAGUUUGAAGCAUAUAUGAGUUUAUAUGAUAUAUGUUUUAUUAAUCUAUGUACACAAAGCCAAUGUUUUUAACAAAAAGAAAGAUUAUGCUUAUACUUCAUUAUGCAUCCUGUACAUAUAUAAUGGUAUAGAUAAUUCCAUUGCGUGUGAAUGAACGGCGCCUUGAGAAUGGCGCCAGAACAAAACCAUGGAAGCAAACUCCUUUUGCUUAUAUCACAAAUUUUGUGCCAUGGUGCAAAAAGAGAGCAAGUGCAUGUGUAUGUUCAGAUAUGAUGAAACCAAAUAAGGUUGCAACUAACAUGUUAUAUUGACUUUCAGUUAUGAACCUUAUGACUCUGAUGCUCUCAAGUUUGGCAACUGUUUGUACUAAGGGCCUGUUCGGCAAUGCUCCGGCUCUCAACUUCCAUUAACUCCGCAGUGAAGUUCAGGCGAACGAGCAAAUUCCGUGGAGCUCAAAUCAAGAAGCUUGCUAUUCUGUUAGUGCAAAUUUGAAGGAGUUGGGGAAGCUGCCUUUUUCUGGCUCUGUGAAAACGAAGAAGUUGGAGUUGAGCGUUAUUAUGAUUUGCUGCCAUCGCCAAGAUGGGUAUGAGUUGAGGAAGCGGUUUUUAUUAUACUUGCUAAAACAUCGUGGGAAUGAAGCUAAAGGCAACUUUCUUGAUAUUUAUGAAAGAAUUUCUUAAGCGCAUCAUCUAGAUAUUGAUAGUUUUGUAAUAGAUGUUUAGUUGGAACAUCGCUCAGUUUGUUACAUGGACAUGUCGUUAAUCUUUCUUUUUGUUAUCAAUUUACAUUGCAAAAAUGGACUUUAAUUAUUCAAUAA
Molecule: non-coding RNA, 1932 nt
Organism: Triticum urartu
Lineage: Eukaryota; Viridiplantae; Streptophyta; Magnoliopsida; Poales; Poaceae
Source: RefSeq, a predicted model, not a curated record